This 468-nucleotide ribosomal RNA is filed under the name uncultured bacterium. RNAcentral describes it as "partial 16S ribosomal RNA". It matches the Rfam family "Bacterial small subunit ribosomal RNA", at positions 28 to 507 of the family's 1533-position model. The record is from RNAcentral.
GACGAACGCUGGCGGCGUGCUUAACACAUGCAAGUCGAACGGAAAGGCCCUGCUCUUGUGGGGUGCUCGUGUGGCGAACGGGUGAGUAAAACGUGUGUAACACGCCCUUGACUUUGGGAUAACUUCAGGAAACUGGGGCUCAUACCGGAUAGGAGCUCCUGCUGCAUGGUGGGGGUUGGAAAGAUGCGGCGGUUGUGGAUAGACUGGCGGCUUAUCAGCCUGUUGGUGGGGUAGUGGAUUACCAAGGUUUUGACGGGUAGCCGGCCUGAGAGGGUGACCGGCCACAAUGGGACUGAGGUACGGCCCAGUCGCGUACGGGAGGCAGCAGUGGAGAAUAUUGCAGAGUGGGCGGAAGCCUGAGGCAGCAACGCCGCGUGCGGGAUGACGGCCUUCGGGUUGUAAACCGCUGUCGACUGUGACGAAGCGGGAGUGACGGUAAUGGGUAAAGAAGCAACGGCUAACUACGUG